UACAGAGGUCCCAAGCGUUGUUCGGAUUCACUGGGCGUAAAGGGUGCGUAGGUGGCGGUGUAAGUCUGAUGUGAAAGCUUCGAGCUUAACUCGAAAAUGGCAUUGGAUACUAUAUUGCUGGAGGUUUGGAGGGGGGACUGGAAUUCUCGGUGUAGCAGUGAAAUGCGUAGAUAUCGAGAGGAACACCGGUGGCGAAGGCGGCCUUCUGGACGGUGACUGACGCUGAGGCGCGAAAGCGUGGGGAGCAAACGGG
Molecule: ribosomal RNA, 253 nt
Filed under: uncultured bacterium
Lineage: Bacteria
Description: partial 16S ribosomal RNA
Rfam family: Bacterial small subunit ribosomal RNA
Source: RNAcentral